AAAAAUAGAUGAGUUUGGUGAUGGCUCUGAUUGAACACUGUCCAAAUACUUGACACAUGCUAAUCGAACGUUUAAUUUUGGCCUAAGAAAGGGGUUUCAUCGUGGCUUAAGCUAAGGGGUUUAUUGAGGCUUAAGCUAAGGUUUAAUCUUUGACUUAAGCGGGUGUUUUAGGGGAACUUGUGCCCCUAAAACCUCUUAAUUAAAAGUGGUGUACAGGUGAGUAUAAUAUUUUUUCGCUUAACUUAAAGUGAAGGCAAAUCCUUCAUAUUGCAAAAGGAUAUCUUAGGCACCUGUUGAAAGGGGCCUACUUAUAUUAUAUCCGCUUUAAGAGGAUGAGAAAAGUUUCAGAGAUAGGUAGUUGUUAAGGUCAUGGCUUAACAAGCCAAUAAUUCUCUUAGUCGAAGCUGAAAAGGCUGAUCGACCACAUUGGGAAUGAAAAAAUCCCAAGGCAAAUAGGUACAGCAGUGAGGAAUCUUGGUCAAUGGGCCCACGCCUGAACUGGUAACUUGGAGGAAUGAGGGGUCCGG
RNAcentral lists this ribosomal RNA (527 nucleotides) under Neurospora crassa. RNAcentral's name for it is "bacterial SSU rRNA". It matches the Rfam family "Bacterial small subunit ribosomal RNA", at positions 1 to 420 of the family's 1533-position model. The record is from RNAcentral. Lineage: Eukaryota; Fungi; Ascomycota; Sordariomycetes; Sordariales; Sordariaceae.